RNAcentral lists this ribosomal RNA (428 nucleotides) under uncultured bacterium. Its description in RNAcentral is "bacterial SSU rRNA". It matches the Rfam family "Bacterial small subunit ribosomal RNA", at positions 30 to 458 of the family's 1533-position model. The record is from RNAcentral.
AUUGAACGCUGGCGGCAGGCCUAACACAUGCAAGUCGAGCGGUAGAGAGGUGCUUGCAUCUCUUGAGAGCGGCGGACGGGUGAGUAAUGCCUAGGAAUCUGCCUAGUGGUGGGGGAUAACGUUCGGAAACGGACGCUAAUACCGCAUACGUCCUACGGGAGAAAGCGGGGGAUCUUCGGACCUCGCGCCAUUAGAUGAGCCUAGGUCGGAUUAGCUAGUUGGUGAGGUAAUGGCUCACCAAGGCGACGAUCCGUAACUGGUCUGAGAGGAUGAUCAGUCACACUGGAACUGAGACACGGUCCAGACUCCUACGGGAGGCAGCAGUGGGGAAUAUUGGACAAUGGGCGAAGACCUGAUCCAGCCAUGCCGCGUGUGUGAAGAAGGUCUUCGGAUUGUAAAGCACUUUAAGUUGGGAGGAAGGGUAGUAA